CCGGUGGGACGUAUCACUAAGACCAUGCCUGGGAUCGAUGGUCGCGUUAGAUCAGUAGAGAUCCAGGUAAAGAACCGAACAUAUAUUAGGCCAGUUGCUCGACUAAUUCCUCUCCCUGAGAUGACGGAGGACGGGGAGCAAUGAGCCUUUCUGAGGAGUGUGGAAUUUAACAAAUUUCCAGGGUGGCUGUAGAAAAGGCCCAUGGAGUUGGUGGAAUAAUCCUUUAAUUCAUGGCCACUUACUCAGCUGGGCCAGAGCGCUUUAAUUAGGUCAGGUGGCAAUGACCGACAGAUCUCAUCCACAUAAAAGGAGGAAAACGGCAUCGCCUGAUCUCGCUGCUUUCUCUUCCUUAACUCCGUCUGCUCCAGAAGUUCUGUGCGUCCAUGAAUCCACCACAGACUACUCAGUAAAUAUACCACUUUAUGGUUAAAGGAA
Molecule: long non-coding RNA, 435 nt
Organism: Salvelinus fontinalis (brook trout)
Lineage: Eukaryota; Metazoa; Chordata; Actinopteri; Salmoniformes; Salmonidae
Exons: 2
Source: RefSeq, a predicted model, not a curated record